AUUGCUUGGAUGUCCUUGACCUUGAAGAGGAGCGGCUGGCUUGCCAGAGCGGCUGCGCAGAAGCGAAAUAUUUACACCGCGCGAACUCUCUGCUGCGGGCCUUGCGGCCUUGGCCACGGCAGGAGGUCAUCCUCAGACGGGCCGGGCGGCAGCGGCUGUCGGAAGGACAGUGGCGGACACCCCCGCUGGAAGGCACUCCCCACGCAGGCUCGGCGGAAGGCCCGGCGGCGGCCGCUGCGGAGGAUCCGGAGGAUCCGGAGGAG
Pollicipes pollicipes is the source of this 263-nucleotide long non-coding RNA. RefSeq lists it as uncharacterized. The record is from RefSeq and is a predicted model, not a curated record. The transcript is spliced from 3 exons. NCBI's taxonomy places the organism in Eukaryota, Metazoa, Arthropoda, Thecostraca, Pollicipedomorpha, Pollicipedidae.